AUACGGAGGGUGCAAGCGUUAUUCGGAAUCAUUGGGUGUAAAGCGCGUGUAGGCGGCUAGGUAAGUCAGAUGUGAAAGUUCUGGGCUUAACCGAGAAAGUGCAUUUGAAACUGCCUGGCUUGAGUCUCGUAGAGGAAGGUGGAAUUCCCAGUGUAGAGGUGAAACUCGUAGAUAUUGGGAGGAACACCGGUGGCGAAGGCGACCUUCUGGGCGAAGACUGACGCUGAGACGCGAAAGCGUGGGGAGCAAACAGGAUUAGAUACCCUGGUAGUCCACGCUGUAAACGAUGGGUACUAGGUGUAGGGGGUAUUCACCCCCCCUGUGCCGAAGCUAACGCAUUAAGUACCCCACCUGGGGAGUACGGCCGCAAGGCUAAA
Molecule: ribosomal RNA, 377 nt
Filed under: uncultured bacterium
Lineage: Bacteria
Description: bacterial SSU rRNA
Rfam family: Bacterial small subunit ribosomal RNA
Source: RNAcentral